RNAcentral lists this ribosomal RNA (1317 nucleotides) under Triticum aestivum (bread wheat). RNAcentral's name for it is "partial small subunit ribosomal RNA". The record is from RNAcentral. Lineage: Eukaryota; Viridiplantae; Streptophyta; Magnoliopsida; Poales; Poaceae.
AUGGCCGCCCCCAACAACGACCCCGCCGCCGCCAGCGCCAGCGCUUCCACCAGCGACGCCGCCCUCGCCGCGCCGGAGGACACCUCGAUCGAGGCGCUGGCGCGGCGCGUGCAGGAGCACAUGACCCUCGCCUCCAACCCCACCGCCCGCCGCCACAAGUUCUGGGAGACGCAGCCCGUGGGCCAGUUUGGCGACGUCGCCGACGUCUCCCUCCCCGACGGCGCCAUCGAGCCGCCCUCCCCGCUCUCCGAGGUCCGCGCCGACCCCUACCCGCUCCCCGCGGCCUUCGAGUGGUUCACCUGCGACCUCGACGACGACGCCCUCCUCGCCGACCUUUACGCCCUCCUCGCCCACAACUACGUCGAGGACGACGAGAACAUGUUCCGCUUCAACUACUCGCCGGCCUUCCUCCGCUGGGCGCUCCGCCCCCCCUCCUUCUUCCGCGCCUGGCACAUUGGCGUCCGGGCCAAGGAGUCCAAGAAGCUCGUCGCUUUCAUAUCCGGCGUCCCCGCGCGCAUCCGUGCGUGCGACGACGUUGUCCGCAUGGCCGAGAUCAACUUCCUCUGCGUCCACAAGAAGCUCCGAUCCAAGCGCCUCGCGCCGGUGCUCAUCCGGGAGGUCACCCGUCGCGUGCACCUGGAGAACAUCUGGCAGGCUGCCUACACUGCGGGCGUCGUCCUCCCGACCCCCAUCACCACCUGCCGCUACUGGCAUCGAUCCCUCAACCCGAAGAAGCUCAUCGACGUUGGCUUCUCCCGUCUUGGUCCCCGCAUGACCAUGAGCCGCACGGUCCGGCUCUACAAGCUGCCUGAUGCGCCGCUUACCCCCGGGUUCCGCCAGAUGGAGUUGCGGGAUGUUGCAGCAGUCACACGCUUGCUCAGGGCAUACCUUGCAAGGUACGUGGUGGCUCCAGAUUUUGAUGAGCUUGAUGUUGAGCACUGGUUGCUGCCCCAGGAGGAUGUAGUGGACAGCUACCUUGUGGAGAGCCCUGAGACGCACGAGGUCACAGAUUUCUGCAGCUUUUACACUCUGCCCUCGUCCGUGCUGAACAAUGCCAACUACUCAACACUCAAGGCCGCAUACUCAUAUUACAAUGUUGCUGUCAAGACCCCAUUGCAGCAGCUGAUGAAUGAUGCACUGAUUGUGGCCAAGCAGAAGAACUUUGAUGUGUUCAACGCGCUCGAUGUCAUGGAGAACGAGGGGUUCCUCAAGGAGCUCAAGUUUGGCCCUGGAGAUGGGCAGCUGCACUAUUAUCUCUAUAAUUACCGCAUUCGCAAUGGAAUCAAGCCAUCUGAGCUUGGGCUUGUGCUUCUAUAG